This 424-nucleotide ribosomal RNA is filed under the name uncultured bacterium. RNAcentral describes it as "partial 16S ribosomal RNA". It matches the Rfam family "Bacterial small subunit ribosomal RNA", at positions 354 to 796 of the family's 1533-position model. The record is from RNAcentral.
GUGGGGAAUCUUGCGCAAUGGGCGAAAGCCUGACGCAGCCAUGCCGCGUGAAUGAUGAAGGUCUUAGGAUUGUAAAAUUCUUUCACCGGGGACGAUAAUGACGGUACCCGGAGAAGAAGCUCCGGCUAACUUCGUGCCAGCAGCCGCGGUAAUACGAAGGGGGCUAGCGUUGCUCGGAAUUACUGGGCGUAAAGGGCGCGUAGGCGGACAGCUUAGUCAGAGGUGAAAGCCCAGGGCUCAACCUUGGAAUUGCCUUUGAUACUGGCUGUCUUGAGUUUGGGAGAGGUGAGUGGAACUCCGAGUGUAGAGGUGAAAUUCGUAGAUAUUCGGAAGAACACCAGUGGCGAAGGCGACUCACUGGCCCAAUACUGACGCUGAGGCGCGAAAGCGUGGGGAGCAAACAGGAUUAGAUACCGUGUAGUCC